GAUGAACGCUAGCGGGAGGCCUAACACAUGCAAGCCGAGCGGUAUUGUUUCUUCGGAAAUGAGAGAGCGGCGUACGGGUGCGUAACACGUGUGCAACCUGCCUUUAUCUGGGGGAUAGCCUUUCGAAAGGAAGAUUAAUACUCCAUAAUAUAUUGAACGGCAUCGUUUAAUAUUGAAAGCUCCGGCGGAUAGAGAUGGGCACGCGCAAGAUUAGCUAGUUGGUGAGGUAACGGCUCACCAAGGCGAUGAUCUUUAGGGGGCCUGAGAGGGUGAUCCCCCACACUGGUACUGAGACACGGACCAGACUCCUACGGGAGGCAGCAGUGAGGAAUAGUGGUCAAUGGGUGCAAGCCUGAACCAGCCAUCCCGCGUGAAGGACGACUGCCCUAUGGGUUGUAAACUUCUUUUGUAUAGGGAUAAACCUACCCUCGUGAGGGUAGCUGAAGGUACUAUACGAAUAAGCACCGGCUAACUCCGUG
Molecule: ribosomal RNA, 479 nt
Filed under: uncultured bacterium
Lineage: Bacteria
Description: partial 16S ribosomal RNA
Rfam family: Bacterial small subunit ribosomal RNA
Source: RNAcentral